UUUUAUUUAAAGUGACUUAAAAGUUGGGAAUGUAUUUGCAAGGUCAAAUCGAAAACAGUAAGAGAGGAACAAAGAAAAGAAAAAAGAAAAAGGAAAAGCAGGGAGAGAGAUAAUAAAGAGAUGAAGAGAGGGAAAGUGUACUGGUUAGGGGUGAGUCAAGAUAAAUUGAUAGAAGGAAUGGGGAGGUGAGGGUGAUAGAGAGAGAAAGAUAUGAGAGUAGUGUAAAGAGUAAAGGAGUGUCAGGUAUGUAGUGAUAGAGCCUAAGUGAGUGGCAGAGAAAGUGGGGUAGGGGUAGUAAAAUGGUGGAAUGAAGAAUUUGGGAAUAUAGGUUAGGUUGGUUAGAGGACAGGUCAGUGCUUAGUAG
Octopus sinensis (East Asian common octopus) is the source of this 364-nucleotide long non-coding RNA. RefSeq lists it as uncharacterized. The record is from RefSeq and is a predicted model, not a curated record. The transcript is spliced from 2 exons. Lineage: Eukaryota; Metazoa; Mollusca; Cephalopoda; Octopoda; Octopodidae.